GAUGACAUAUGUACACAUAUACAUGCAUACACAUAUGCUGUAUUGCACUUUAUUUGCAGUCCCUCACUUGUUUGCUUGUCUCCCUGCUGUGUGCGUGUGCCUUUGCAUCUAUUUGCACAGGACAGAGCACUUUAAAGUUCACUACACCAUAGCAUUCAUUCCUUCCUGCCUGGGUGUUAUUGGCAUGCAACAAUGCACCUAAUACCCAGGACAUACACUUGGACCUGCAACCAGCACACACGCGCUUCGGGCAUGUGGGACAACAAAUUCGAAGUAGGUAUGGAGGAUCGCGCACAUGCAUGGGGGCGUGCAUGCACUAAUGAAGGCAGUGAGAUGCCUGUGGUUCACCGUAGAAUGCUUCAAAACAUGCGAGUCACUGCUGCACCAGCCGAGAAUCGAACUCGGGUCUGGUCCGUGGCAAGGACCUAUGCUACCACUAUACCACUGGUGCUCUGUAAGACACGGAAACUGCUCGAGUCAACACCACUGCACACAACUAUAUCAAGAGUUACACACAUGCAGACAUACAAUGUGCACAGAAUCACGUGUUCUAUAUACCUAGGUAUAUGGGUAUGCCUCUCUGGUGCCCGUAAUAGGUUUGUCUGAGGGAGCACCAGUGGUGUCGUGGUUGCAUAUAUGGGUCCUUUGCCGCAGACUAGACUCGAGUUUAUCCUCGACUGGUGCACAAAAACAUGCAUGUUUUGUAGCAUUGUACGGUGGGCCGCUGGCUUCUCAGCAUUGCCUUGAUUAUUGGAUGUGCUCUAUCCACCUAGUUUGUUGUUCCAUAUGCCUGAAGCACAUGUGUGUUGGUAGCAGGUCCAGGUGCAUGUCCGAGGUAAUGUGUGCUUUGCCACAUGCCAAUAACACCCAGGCAGGAAGGGAUGAAUGCUCUGGCAUAUUGAACUGUAAAGUGCUCUGUCCUGCGCCAUAAUAGACGCAAAGACAUAAGUACACAGCAGGGAGAUGGGUGAAUGAGUGAAGAUUGCCAACCUGUAUUAGGGCAUGGUUAGCACCCAUAAAUAUUGAGAAUAAGAUCCUUGCCCCAACAACCGCCCAGCCAUGCCUAAAUACCUGUGUGCCCAGCAAAACAUGCCCAUGGCCCCAUGCAUGCCUAGGUGAUGUACACGUGAUUGUGGGAUGGGCUGUGCCCACUCACUCCUCACAUGCCUAGCAGCCAGAAUGAGGUGUUGNGUGUUUUUCAUGUGCUAUGGCAGUGGUCGUGUGGCUUAAUGGAUAAUUAUAAGGCAUCGUCCUCCAGUUUUAUGUCCAGGAUGGAGAUUGUGGGUUUCAGUCCCUAACUUCCCCGGCCCCAUGUUUUN
RNAcentral lists this long non-coding RNA (1319 nucleotides) under Volvox carteri. Its description in RNAcentral is "long non-coding RNA (VCAR_LNC004162)". Lineage: Eukaryota; Viridiplantae; Chlorophyta; Chlorophyceae; Chlamydomonadales; Volvocaceae. The record is from RNAcentral.